Non-coding RNA from Schistosoma margrebowiei, 45 nucleotides. Lineage: Eukaryota; Metazoa; Platyhelminthes; Trematoda; Strigeidida; Schistosomatidae. The record is from Rfam.
GUCCAACUGACGAGUCCAAAACAGGACGAAAUGAGCGUCUUGAAU